Long non-coding RNA from Numida meleagris (helmeted guineafowl), 773 nucleotides. RefSeq lists it as uncharacterized. The transcript has 2 exons. NCBI's taxonomy places the organism in Eukaryota, Metazoa, Chordata, Aves, Galliformes, Numididae. The record is from RefSeq and is a predicted model, not a curated record.
UAUGUGCUGUGCACAGGAGCAAGGUGUGCAGCUAGGCAUUGCAUGCACCUAUGUACUGACGCUAUGCAACAGAGCAAGGCGUGCAACAGAGCAACGGUUUGCAUCCUCAUGCAGGUGGAGAGGGAGAAGCUGAAGACGCACGAAGCCUCGCUGCGCCUGGCUCUGCAGAAGGGCCACCUGGACCGCUCGCUGGGCACGUCGGAGCAGCAGCUGGCAGAAGCACAACGACGCAUUCAAGUGCUGCAGGCGGGUGGCACCGCGGUGCUGCCUGCACCUUAGGCACAAGUCUCAGCGCUGGAGCGGAGCUCUGGGGCUGCACAGAAGCCACCAGCACAGCAGCGGGGGGCACAGGAGUUGCGCCGUCACCCCCGCAGCAUUUAGGGCCAAGAGCAGCAACAUGAAAAUCCACUCAACAUUCCCCAAUCCCACUCUUUGAUCGAGGAGAAGAGCAGCAAUUUACCCCCAAGACACCGCUGUCUAUUUUUGAUACAGCUUGAUUUUUUUCCCCCCUUCCUUUUUUCUACGGCAUUUUUAUAACCAACGUUUGGAAACAGGACAUUUUUUAAGCCCAUAUGGGAGCACUGGAGCUCCCCAACCUGGCACUGACCAGGGUAUGCAUCCCAUGCCUGGAUCCCACGCGGCACAGGGAGGAUCCUGUCUUUUCUACUGCUCUUUUUGGAGACUGGUUUGAUAUCGGUGCUAUGGGCCAACCCAACGUGGCCCCAACCCUUGUCCAUCCCCUCUCCCCCUCCAUUAAACGUAUGGAAAGCCAA